Molecule: ribosomal RNA, 253 nt
Filed under: uncultured bacterium
Lineage: Bacteria
Description: partial 16S ribosomal RNA
Rfam family: Bacterial small subunit ribosomal RNA
Source: RNAcentral
UACAGAGGUCCCGAGCGUUGUUCGGAUUUAUUGGGCGUAAAGGGUGCGUAGGCGGCGGAGUAAGUUGGGUGUGAAAUCCCGGGGCUUAACCUCGGAAUGGCAUUCAAUACUGCUUCGCUUGAGUACUGGAGAGGAGGCUGGAAUUUACGGUGUAGCAGUGAAAUGCGUAGAUAUCGUAAGGAAGGCCGGUGGCGAAAGCGAGCCUCUGGACAGUUACUGACGCUGAGACACGAAGGCCAGGGGAGCAAACGGG